CAAAGUGACUGAUCUUAAUUUAAGUAACACGUAUUGAAAAAUACAGAAAGUAGAUAGGGACAAUUAGAAAAAAAUAGCAGCGUGGAACAAGGGACAAGAAAAUUAUCCAAUAUAUGUCAUGUUUUUUUCGCUAUGUCGCACUGCGGAAAAUAAAAUAAGAAAAUAGCAUGAUUUGCGCGAACGAAACGAAUAGAAGCUCGCGAUUCGCAAGCAGAACUGCGACGAAAUGAAACAGAGAGAGAAAGAUAAAGACAGGCGAGAGAAAUACAUGUUGAAACGGCAGACAAUCAAUAAGAAUAAAUAAACUGAAAAUAAAAGAAAAAAAAAAAAUUACAAAUUAUACAUAAAACUAAGAAGCCAUAAAUUAAAUUAACAUAAUUUCAAAGAUUAAUUACACAAAUGAAAAUAAAAGUAAAUUUAAAUUGGUGUUAAGAAAGAAAGUAAUGAUUAAUAGAGAUAAAGAUAGACUUGGAUAAAAGAGUAAUGAAGUACGUCAAACAUAAAGCACCAGUAAGAAGAAAAACUUAAACUGGUUAAUGAAAAAGAAAAAAAAAAAAGAAAAAAAAAAGAAAAAAAAAAAGAAAAAAAAAGGAAAAAAAAAAAACAAAACCAUUGAAAAUAAAAUCAGAUCAUAAUAAUAAUAAAGAAUUAAUAUUUAAGAACGGUCAAACAGUGCGGAGAUUGGACUUGCGGACUAACCAUAUAGUAAUCCUGAGAGGGGGAUCUGCCUGUCACAGAUACAUUCUGCACCAGAGUUCUUUUGCUCGUCUGAAACUAAUGCAGGAUAUAUCGCAAGAUCAAAAGGGCUAAAACAUGAGGUACGCAUCAUCGAGGUAACACGGCAAAGAACUCAAAUGAAAAUGCAAACCAAGUGGAUAAUCGACUGACAGUGGCACAACGGUGAUCAGAAGUGGCUGAGAAAGGAAAGCAAACGAACAGAGAGACAUAUAGGCUGUUUCAGAGUUGCUAAACGUAUAACAGAUAUCCGAGUUUCAAUAUGAUUACAAGAGGCCUGCAACUACGAAACAACCAGUAAUAUAUGCACACAUACAAGAAAAAUGUUGCGACGUGUAAAAAAAUGAGCCAACGAACGAGGGGAUGCAAUGUGAGGUGCAAUGCGGACAAAGUGAGCGAUAAAUGCGGCUUUCUUCUGAUGAAAAACGAUCGUAUGUAUGGAUGAUAUCUAUGUAGCAUGUGAUGUGCAUGAUGACAAAAGAGAUACUUUUGAGCUUGUUAGGAGAAGGGCGACAGCGAUAUAAAUAUAAUUGACAAAAAAAAAAGAAAAAAAAAGUGAAAAAAAUAAAUACAAUGAUAAUGAGAGGGAGGAUCAAAACGUUUUGAGGAAAUGGUGCCCACAUGAUCUGAUAAAUUUUAAGAUUAAGUGGAGAUGCAAGAUCUCCGUUACCUGUACAAAGGAGGGACAAUUUUUCAAGUAAAGCUCAAGAAAAAUCCGCAACUACUUCUCUAUAUAUAUAUAUAUAUCCUACAACAAAUGGCUCAGUAAAAGCUUCAACAAAGCGCGAAUGCAGAAGAUUAAUAUUAAAAGAUGUGAGAAAUAGAACCCCAUAUUAUUAUAUGCAUGUGUUUCAUUACUUCAUUUUCCAUAAUUGUAACACGUGCUUGUUUUUAUUGCGGAUCAGAACAACCACACAGAAGCAUCCCAGUUAUACAUAUAUAUAUGUAUAUGUAUAUGUAUACAUUGAUAACCAUUUCUUUUAUUCAAUUUAUGCUUAUGUUAUUUUUCUCAAAUGUUUCUUUUCUUCUAUUUUUGCCUUUUUAUCAUAUUGUUAGUGCGCUCAACGCGAGAGCAGCGAAAAUUAUUAUUAGUCCCAAUUCGCAAGGUAUUCCCUAACCUCGUCUUGCGAAUUGGGAGAUGACCUAAGCGGACAGAGAAAAAUAAAUGCAAAGAGAAUGAAAAAAAAAAUCGGUUUGAAAAGAAGAAAGUUUUCGGCUCCGUGCGUGUGAUGAAUAGAAAUGGGGAUCGAGAAAGAACAAGAACGAAACCAGAGGAAGAGACAAACAAGAAGGAGAGAAAUAUAUAUAUAUAUAUAUAAAUGUAUAGACAUAGAAACAGAUAGAGAAACAGAAAAAAAAAAGAGAGAAAGACAGAGAUAAAUAGUUAAAAAGUUAUAAGUUAUUGAAAGAACAUAGUCGAAACAGCUCCGACAAGAGAAUAGAGUGAUUACAGAUAAAGCGCUAAGCGCAAAAAUACCGCUUUAUAUUAUAAUAAUAACUCUAAUUAUUCCGAAUUUUCAGCUUUGCAUGAGAACUUCGGAAUCAAAAGUUUAUAAACUUGAACUCAAGUUCAAGCACGCUACUGAGAUCCCUUGCACCAAAACAAAAAACGCAAAUAUAUUACAAUACGUGUGUGAUAUAUUGUGAGUGACGAAUAUUUAGUGGAUCGUCAAAACGCUGUUUUCAUUAGUUACUCUUUCACACAAACAAGUACGUAGACGUCAGAGAAGGAUCUUCAGUCAUGCAAUGACUAAUAUUGAAGUUUAAGUUCUUUUUUUAAGACAAGACACGAGUAACAGUUUACUAUCCACUAAGCAAACUAAUACUCAUUUUUUUAUAAACUCUACGUACUACAGUAUCUAAAUAAAUAAAUACAUGCUUAACAAAUUUCCAAGAAUUCUUACUUCCACAAUAAUAAUAUAUCAAUAUUCCAGAUAUCCUUAAAUAUCUUUUUGAAUUUUUUAUGACACUUUAAUAACAUUCUCUUAUAAUAUUCAUUUCUUCCAUUAAUUUUGAGUUCAAAAUGUUUUAAAGACCUGUCUAUACUGACAAACAUUGUCCUCAAACAAUCCGUGUACAUUAUUUGUCAGCAGUCAGAGUAAUAUUGCUUGGAUCAUGCACACAGAUCAUAUCACAGGAAGUGUCGUGCGUUCACAUUUAGUUUAUCAGCUGAAAUAUAGAUCAAUAGUUAAUCGAUGAAAUUAUCCCAGGAUAUAUUUUAUCUUCUAUUUAUUUACAGAUUGUCGGAGAAUAAUUAUUUGUCAAUACAGAUUAAUCCUUUAUUCAUUCUCUGUAGAAUAAUUUUCAACUUCUUAUACCUAUAAUUCAAAAAUAUAUAUAUAUACAAUCUAUAUAUUCAGAUACUGUGGUACUUUCUUAUUCAAUUUUCUAUCUUCGAACAUUCAAAGUUUCUUUCACAGAAGAAACUUGGAACAUUUUAUCAUUUGGCCAGCAUUAACGUAAAAUUACAAGAAGAGGGGAGCGAGGGAACAACUGAGCACGCGCGAUCAUUCUUGUCCAAUGUAUUCAAUUCAAAUCACAGUGUUCAUCAUGUCAUUAUUUAAAUUGAAUUCCUUUCAAUAUAUCCGAGCAUCUAAGGAGCAUGCUACGUAAAGCGUAUGUAUAUUAGUAUGGAGUGAAAGACAUAUGACGAGCAAAAGCAAUAGAAAAAGGAAUUUGUAAAAGCGAAAACAUAAACCAAUAGAAGCGCUACGAUAUAUCAUAUACAGCUAUAUCAAUAAUAAUAAUUAAUAUGAGUUCCA
Apis mellifera (honey bee) is the source of this 3497-nucleotide long non-coding RNA. RefSeq lists it as uncharacterized. The record is from RefSeq and is a predicted model, not a curated record. The transcript is spliced from 5 exons. Lineage: Eukaryota; Metazoa; Arthropoda; Insecta; Hymenoptera; Apidae.